Molecule: transfer RNA, 57 nt
Filed under: Cricetulus griseus (Chinese hamster)
Lineage: Eukaryota; Metazoa; Chordata; Mammalia; Rodentia; Cricetidae
Rfam family: tRNA
About the family: Transfer RNA (tRNA) molecules are approximately 80 nucleotides in length. Their secondary structure includes four short double-helical elements and three loops (D, anti-codon, and T loops). Further hydrogen bonds mediate the characteristic L-shaped molecular structure. tRNAs have two regions of fundamental functional importance: the anti-codon, which is responsible for specific mRNA codon recognition, and the 3' end, to which the tRNAs corresponding amino acid is attached (by aminoacyl-tRNA synthetases). tRNAs cope with the degeneracy of the genetic code in two manners: having more than one tRNA (with a specific anti-codon) for a particular amino acid; and 'wobble' base-pairing, i.e. permitting non-standard base-pairing at the 3rd anti-codon position.
Source: Rfam by way of RNAcentral
UAGCUCAGUAAUAGAGCACUUGCCUUGCAUGCAUGAGGCCCUGGGUUCCUUCCCCAG